AAUUUGUUUGGUCGUAGAGUUCUGUAAUUCUCAUCGUAUUCAAGGCGAACACUUUUUGUGUGAAAAUGGAUUGCACUUUUAAGGCAUGUUUCUUUUUGGUGGCCGUUAUUUAUGGCGUUCAAGCUGGGCUUUUGGGGAAGAGAAGUCCACAGACUGAAACGCUAGAAAGUCAUUCCUGCCAUCCAGACAACAUAAUAUCCUGCAGUUUCGGAAUGACCAAACCGUGUGAAACUUAUGGUGGUUUCCCCUGCACAUCGCAAUGUAACAAAUGUCCUUCUUCGCAAACAUGUUGUUGCCAUCCUGCCGUAUGGUAUCCGAACAGCUGUCAAGGACUUACAAUUGUGCGAGGAAAAUGAAUUUAAAAAAGUCUUUUAGAAG
This 378-nucleotide long non-coding RNA is filed under the name Dendronephthya gigantea. RNAcentral's name for it is "uncharacterized LOC114524136". Lineage: Eukaryota; Metazoa; Cnidaria; Anthozoa; Malacalcyonacea; Nephtheidae. The record is from RNAcentral.